This 85-nucleotide transfer RNA is filed under the name Blastocystis sp. subtype 6. RNAcentral describes it as "tRNA-Met". It matches the Rfam family "tRNA". Rfam says of the family: Transfer RNA (tRNA) molecules are approximately 80 nucleotides in length. Their secondary structure includes four short double-helical elements and three loops (D, anti-codon, and T loops). Lineage: Eukaryota; Bigyra; Opalinata; Blastocystidae. The record is from RNAcentral.
UUUAAAGUAUUUGAAAAGUUCAAAGGUAUGGUUACUAAUCAAGUCUCAUGAAUUUGUUAUUUAGGUUCGAUUCCUAACUUUGAAA